Molecule: ribosomal RNA, 1820 nt
Organism: Cavia porcellus (domestic guinea pig)
Lineage: Eukaryota; Metazoa; Chordata; Mammalia; Rodentia; Caviidae
Rfam family: Eukaryotic small subunit ribosomal RNA
Source: Rfam
UACCUGGUUGAUCGUGCCAAUAGCAUAUGCUUGUCUCAAAGAUUAAGCCGUGCACUGCCGGUCCAGUGAAACUGUGAAUGGCUCAUUAAAUCGGUUAUGGUUCCUUUGGUCGCUCUCUCCUCUACUUGGAUAACUGUGGUAAUUCUAGAGCUAAUACAUGCCGAAGGGCGCUGACCCCCUUCUGGGGGUGGGUGGGUGGGUGGGUGGAGUGAUGCGUGCAUUUAUUAGAUCAAAACCAACACGGUCAGUUCCCUCUCAGCCCAGCCAGGGGGUGGGUGCCAGUGGCUUGGUGACUCUGGAUAACCUCGGGCAGAUCGCAUGCCCCCCGUGCUGGCAAUGACCCAUUCGAACGUCUGCCCUAUCAACUUUAGAUGGUAGUCGCCGUGCCUAUCAUGGUGACCACGGGUGAUGAGGAAUCAGGGUUCAAUUUCUGAGAGGGAGCCUGAGAAAUGGCUACCACAACCAAGGAAAGCAGCAGGCGCGCAAAUUACCCACUCCUGACCCAGGGAGGUAGUGAGGAAAAAUAGCAAUACAGGACUCUUUUAAACGAGGCCCUAUAAUUGGAAUGAAACCACUUUAAAUCCUUUCGCGAGGAUCCAUUGGAGGGCAAGUCUGGUGCCAGCAGCUGAGAUAAUUCCAGCUCCAAUAGCAUAUAUUAAAGGUGCUGCAGUUUAAAAGGUCUAGUUGGAUCUUGGGAGCAGGUGGGCGGUCAAUAUCAAGAAGAGCCCACUCCCGUUCCCGCCCCUUGCCUCUCGGCACCCUCUCGGUGCUCUUAGCUGAGUGUCCCGUGUGGCCCGAAGCCUUUACUUUGAAAAAAUUAGAGUGUUCAAAGCAGGCCCGAGCCGCCUGGAUACCGCAGCUAGGAAUAAUAGGAUAGGACCGCGGUUCUAUUUUGUUGGUUUUUGGAACUGAGGCCAUGAUUAAGAGGGAUGGCCAGGGGCAUUCGUAUUGUGCCCCUAGAGUGAAAUUCUUGGACCCGUGCAAGACGGACCAAAGCGAAAGCAUUUGCCAAGAAUGUUUUCAUUAAUCAAGAAUGAAAGUCGGAGGUUCCAAGAGGAUCAGAUACUGUUGUAGUUCUGACCAUAAACCAUGCCGACCGGCGAUGCUGUGGCAUUAUUCCCAUGACCCGCCUGGCAGUUUCCAGGAAACCAAAGUCUUUAGAGUCUGGGGGGAGUAUGGUUGCGAAGCUCAAACUUAAAGGAAUUGACGGAUUGGCACCACCAGGAGUGGAGCCUGCCGCUUAAUUUUACUCAACACAGAAACCUCACCCGGCCCGGACAUGGACAGGAUUGACACAUUGAUAGCUCUUUCUGGAUUCCGUGGAUGGUGGUGCACGGCCUUUCUUGGUGGAGUGAUUAGUAUGGAUAAUUCCUAUAAUGGAGACUCAGGCAUGCUAACUAGUUAAGCGACCCCUUAGUGGUUGGCGUCCCCCAACUUCUUAGAGGGACAAGUGGUGUUCAGCCACCCGAGAUGGAGCAAUAGCAGGUCUGUGAUGCCCUUAGAUGACCGCUACACCGGCAGGCAUGGGUAACCCGUUGAACCCCAUCCAUGAUGGGGAUCCGGGAUUGAAAUUAUUCUCCACGAACAAGGAAUUCCCAGUAAGUGCAGGUCAUAAGCUUGCAUUGAUUAAGUCCCUGCCCUCUGUACACACCACCCAUUGCUACUACCUAUUGGAUGGUUUAGUGAGGCCCUCAGAUGGGCCCAGCCGGGGUUGGCCCACGGCCCUGGUGGAGCGCUGAGAAGACUAUCAAACUUGACUAUCUAGAGGAAGUCAAAGUCAUAACAAGUUUUCCUUAGGUGAACCUACGGAAGGAUCAUUA